This 358-nucleotide ribosomal RNA is filed under the name uncultured Pseudomonadaceae bacterium. Its description in RNAcentral is "bacterial SSU rRNA". It matches the Rfam family "Bacterial small subunit ribosomal RNA", at positions 1028 to 1382 of the family's 1533-position model. Lineage: Bacteria; Pseudomonadati; Pseudomonadota; Gammaproteobacteria; Pseudomonadales; Pseudomonadaceae. The record is from RNAcentral.
UCUGACACAGGUGCUGCAUGGCUGUCGUCAGCUCGUGUCGUGAGAUGUUGGGUUAAGUCCCGUAACGAGCGCAACCCUUGUCCUUAGUUACCAGCACGUUAUGGUGGGCACUCUAAGGAGACUGCCGGUGACAAACCGGAGGAAGGUGGGGAGUGACGUCAAGUCAUCAUGGCCCUUACGGCCUGGGCUACACACGUGCUACAAUGGUCGGUACAAAGGGUUGCCAAGCCGCGAGGUGGAGGCUAAUCCCAUAAAACCGAUCGUAGUCCGGAUCGCAGUCUGCAACUCGACUGCGUGAAGUCGGAAUCGCUAGUAAUCGUGAAUCAGCCAAGCCGCGGUGAAUACGUUCCCGGGCCUU